CUGCCCUCAAGCGCGGCUUGUGUGUUGGGCGUGGUCCCCCCGGGGACCUGCCCGAAAGGCAGCGGCGACGUCCGUCCGGUCCUCGAGCGUAUGGGGCUCUGUCACUCGCUCGGGACGGAUCGGCGGAGGUUGGUCACCACCACAGUUUUACCAC
This 154-nucleotide unclassified non-coding RNA is filed under the name uncultured Talaromyces. Its description in RNAcentral is "sequence contains ITS2". The record is from RNAcentral. Lineage: Eukaryota; Fungi; Ascomycota; Eurotiomycetes; Eurotiales; Trichocomaceae.